UGAACCUGGCGGAAGGACAUUACCGAGUUAGGGUGCCUCGUCGCGCCCGACCUCCAACCCUUUGCUUACUUGACCUAUAUUGUUGCUUCGGCAGGCCCGCCCCCCGGAAACGGGUGGCCGCCGGGGGCGUUUCACCGCCCCGGGCCCGUGCCUGUCGAUGGCCCUAUUAAAACUCUUGUCAAAACGUGUCGUCUGAGUUUAUCUAAACAAAUAAAAACCAAAACUUUCAACAACGGAUCUCUUGGUUCUGGCAUCGAUGAAGAACGCAGCGAAAUGCGAUAAGUAAUGCGAAUUGCAGAAUCCGUGAGUCAUCGAAUCUUUGAACGCACAUUGCGCCCUCUGGUAUUCCGGAGGGCAUGCCUGUUCGAGCGUCAUUAUCACCCCUCAAGCCCGGCUUGUUGUUGGAUGCAGCGCUUAUCCCGCUCCUCCCAAAGAUAAUGACGGCGUCUGCGACGACUCCUGUACACUGAGCUUUCGGGCACGUACACGGCUAGAAGUCCAGACCCGGUCGCCGUCCCCCCCGCGGGGACACCCAUUACCACAAGGUUGACCUCGGAUCAGGUAGGAAUACCCGCUGAACUUAAGCAUAUCAAUAAGGCGGAGGA
This 605-nucleotide ribosomal RNA is filed under the name uncultured Ascomycota. RNAcentral describes it as "eukaryotic LSU rRNA". The stretch from base 222 to 374 matches the Rfam family "5.8S ribosomal RNA". The record is from RNAcentral. Lineage: Eukaryota; Fungi; Ascomycota.